Molecule: ribosomal RNA, 854 nt
Filed under: Vibrio alginolyticus
Lineage: Bacteria; Pseudomonadati; Pseudomonadota; Gammaproteobacteria; Vibrionales; Vibrionaceae
Description: bacterial SSU rRNA
Rfam family: Bacterial small subunit ribosomal RNA
Source: RNAcentral
GCGUGUGUGAGAAGGCCUUCGGGUUGUAAAGCACUUUCAGUCGUGAGGAAGGUAGUGUAGUUAAUAGCUGCAUUAUUUGACGUUAGCGACAGAAGAAGCACCGGCUAACUCCGUGCCAGCAGCCGCGGUAAUACGGAGGGUGCGAGCGUUAAUCGGAAUUACUGGGCGUAAAGCGCAUGCAGGUGGUUUGUUAAGUCAGAUGUGAAAGCCCGGGGCUCAACCUCGGAAUUGCAUUUGAAACUGGCAGACUAGAGUACUGUAGAGGGGGGUAGAAUUUCAGGUGUAGCGGUGAAAUGCGUAGAGAUCUGAAGGAAUACCGGUGGCGAAGGCGGCCCCCUGGACAGAUACUGACACUCAGAUGCGAAAGCGUGGGGAGCAAACAGGAUUAGAUACCCUGGUAGUCCACGCCGUAAACGAUGUCUACUUGGAGGUUGUGGCCUUGAGCCGUGGCUUUCGGAGCUAACGCGUUAAGUAGACCGCCUGGGGAGUACGGUCGCAAGAUUAAAACUCAAAUGAAUUGACGGGGGCCCGCACAAGCGGUGGAGCAUGUGGUUUAAUUCGAUGCAACGCGAAGAACCUUACCUACUCUUGACAUCCAGAGAACUUUCCAGAGAUGGAUUGGUGCCUUCGGGAACUCUGAGACAGGUGCUGCAUGGCUGUCGUCAGCUCGUGUUGUGAAAUGUUGGGUUAAGUCCCGCAACGAGCGCAACCCUUAUCCUUGUUUGCCAGCGAGUAAUGUCGGGAACUCCAGGAGACUGCCCGGUGAUAAACCGGAGGAAGGUGGGGACGACGUCAAGUCAUCAUGGGCCCUUACGAGUAGGGCUACACACGUGCUAACAUGGCCGCAUACUAGA